ACCAUAUUCGGACCGUCGGUCUACCGAGCAAUAUCACCCGCUCGGUGGAAGAUAUUCAUGUCUAUUGA
This 68-nucleotide microRNA precursor is filed under the name Bombyx mori (domestic silkworm). RNAcentral's name for it is "mir-2774 microRNA precursor family". It matches the Rfam family "mir-2774 microRNA precursor family". The record is from Rfam by way of RNAcentral. Lineage: Eukaryota; Metazoa; Arthropoda; Insecta; Lepidoptera; Bombycidae.